Molecule: long non-coding RNA, 2390 nt
Organism: Equus quagga
Lineage: Eukaryota; Metazoa; Chordata; Mammalia; Perissodactyla; Equidae
Exons: 3
Source: RefSeq, a predicted model, not a curated record
UGCCUGGCCAGGGGAGAGGGCGCGGGGCGGGCGAGCUCUGAGUCCCCAGUGCCAGCUCUGCCCCACGAGACUCCUUGUUCUGACGAUGGGACGGGCUGUGGAGGGGAGAACAGACUGUACCUGAAGGCCAGUGAGGAGCCCCUGGUGAUGAGUGACUGCACCAGGUAGUGGCAAUAGAGACAGCAGAGGUGCCUGGACUCUGGAUGUGUUGCUUCAGUAGGACCAGCCCGGUUUCCUGAUGUGAGGCAGUGAGAGACAGCUAUCAAGGUGAACCUGGGUGUUUGAACUCAGCGGCUUGAUGGAUGGAAGUUCCAUCAACUGAGAUGUGGAAGUUGGUGGCUGGAGCAGGUUCCUGGGAGAAGAUCUGGAGUGGUCUGGUGACAUUUGAGAAUGUGGCUGUGUAUUUCUCCCAGGGGGAGUGUGGAGGCUCCUUAGUGUAACCCAGAGGCACCAGUACUGUGAUGUUGUGUCGGAGAACUUUCAGCUCAUUGGCUCGCUGGGCUCAGCAUGCUGGAAGCUGUUUCUCUAAAGUAGAAUAGUUAUCUGCAGAAGAAGAUGGAGACUUGCUUCCAAAUCUGAGAGAUCUGUGCUGCAAUUCUCCUGUUGCUGCUUCCUGGAGGCUCCAUGUGGUGUCCUGAUUUGCCACAGACACUUCAAGUAUCAUCGAGUCUGCUGGAUCGUGAGGCCCAGGUGGUGAAGCAGACUGUACUGCAGGUGGAACCUGCUUCAGAGCCUUCUCUCCUUCUGGUUCCCACUUAAAACCAGAAGGAUGGUUCAAAGCAGUAGAUUCAGAUGUGGUGUACGUUGCCUCCAAAAUCCAAAAAGGCCUACCAAGCAUUGUGCCUCUUUUUUGGUGGUCAGUGGUGUGAGGGGAGAUUAGAUGGGACAUCUCAACCUACUCAGGCUAUUGAACCCCCAAGAGUGUCACUGAGGCGGCAGGCCCCUGAAUUUUUGUAGGUUUUGUUUCCCACCCUCUCAUUUACAUGUCUUACUAAAGUAUCUAAAAUACUUGCUACUUCUUGCUCACCAGAUCCACUCAGCGUAGUUUAUCAAUGAAGUGGACCAAUGUGAUGUUUACGCAGUGUCAAGAUGGUCAAGAUCUCUGUGGGCUAUCUUAGGCAGAGAGCAGCAGCAUGUAGUCCUGAGGCAACAGUCUGGAGGUAUACUGUUGGUUCGGUCCAAGCAGGUAAAAGCAAAUGGUUUCUGGUGUUCCUUGUAAUUUGUGUGGAAGAAAAGGCACCAGCCAACUUCAGUAGCUGCAUGCCGAGUGCCAGGGGUUCUGUGAAUUUCUUGUAAUAAAGAUACUAAGUCUGGAACAGCAGGUACAAUUGGAGUCACCACCAGAUUAAAUUUACGAUCAUUCACAGUCAUUGUCCAGGAUGUAUCUGACUUCUGCACAGGCCCAACUAGUGGGUUCAAUGGGAAUGUGGUGGGUCCCGCCACCCUUGCUUCUUUCAAGUCUUUGAUAGUGGCAUUAAUCUCUGCAGUUCCUCCAGGGAUGCAAUCUUGCUUUCGGUUUACUGUUUUGGCAGGGAGUGGAAGCUUCAGGGGCUUCUAUUUAGCCCUCCUUAGCAUAAUGGCUCUUACCCCAUGGCUCAGCAACGUGAUAUAGGGAUUCUGCCAGUGACUAAGUGUGCCUGUUCCAAUUAUAUACUCAGCAACUGGGGAAGUGACCAGAGAGUGGGCCUGUUGACCAACUGGGCUCACUGGGAGUUGGACCUGAGCUAAUACUCAUUUAUCACCUGACCACCAUAGGCCUCCACUUUAACUCCUGGGCCACUGUGUUUUUGAGUUUCAGGAGUUAGUAUCAGUUCAGAGCUUGUGUCUAGUAAUCCUGAAGGGUCUGAGCACAACCUUUUCCCCAAUUCACAGUCACUCUAAUAAAUGGUUGCAGUUCCCUUUGGGGAGGGCUUGGAGGAAGAUUGAUGGUAUAUACUUUUGACAAUAGGGCAGGGUCCUUUCUCAAGGGGACCUGGCCUCCUCUCCAGGGUUCUGGGCUGUGAAUUGACUCAGGUCUGGAAACUGAGGCUGUGACUCUCCACCGUGGCAAACUAAGUCAGGCUUUUGGCACCAGAUGUGGAGCCUUUAUUAAUACAUAGAUCAUGCACUGCUCAGUUAGGCUGACCAUGUCUUUUUUCCCAAGGAACACUGUAAUCAACUGACCUGCCAAAGACCUCCACGGGCCAAGGCACUCUGAUUGCCUGUACAUCCUGCUGCCUGUUAAGGCGAUGUGCCACCUUGUAAUUGGUAGUUAAGUGCUGCCACUUGGCCUCUGCUACUCAUGGGCCCAUCCCAUGGAAAUCAGAGAGCCCAUCUCAAUGGCAGCAUCUCCUGCAGUCAUAGCUGCUCACGAAAGAGCAACCACAGGGAUUUUCCAGGCUGCAGGUCCC